UGUAUGUGUUGAAGAAGGAAGAGGGGGGGAGGCAUUCGCCGUUCUUUUCGGGUUACAGGCCUCAGUUUUACAUGAGGACCACUGAUGUCACCGGGAAGGUGACUUCGAUUAUGAACGACAAGGAUGAGGAGUCGAAGAUGGUGAUGCCUGGCGAUCGCGUUAAGAUUGUUGUCGAGCUGAUUGUUCCGGUGGCGUGUGAGCAGGGGAUGAGGUUUGCUAUCAGAGAAGGAGGGAAGACUGUUGGAGCUGGCGUUAUUCAAUCCAUUAUCGAGUGAUAGAAAAUAGAAAUUAUGUGGUGGUCUGAACUUAUUUUUGCAAUUUGGUGUCAAACUUGAACUCUCUUAGCUUCAAUUUUAUCUAGCUUUU
Molecule: long non-coding RNA, 366 nt
Filed under: Malus domestica (apple)
Lineage: Eukaryota; Viridiplantae; Streptophyta; Magnoliopsida; Rosales; Rosaceae
Description: long non-coding RNA (MDOM_LNC014258)
Source: RNAcentral